Molecule: ribosomal RNA, 484 nt
Filed under: uncultured bacterium
Lineage: Bacteria
Description: partial 16S ribosomal RNA
Rfam family: Bacterial small subunit ribosomal RNA
Source: RNAcentral
AUUGAACGCUGGCGGCAGGCCUAACACAUGCAAGUCGAGCGGAUGAAGGGAGCUUGCUCCUGGAUUCAGCGGCGGACGGGUGAGUAAUGCCUAGGAAUCUGCCUGGUAGUGGGGGAUAACGUCCGGAAACGGGCGCUAAUACCGCAUACGUCCUGAGGGAGAAAGGGGGGGAUCUUCGGACCUCACGCUAUCAGAUGAGCCUAGGUCGGAUUAGCUAGUUGGUGGGGUAAAGGCCUACCAAGGCGACGAUCCGUAACUGGUCUGAGAGGAUGAUCAGUCACACUGGAACUGAGACACGGCCCAGACUCCUACGGGAGGCAGCAGUGGGGAAUAUUGGACAAUGGGCGAAAGCCUGAUCCAGCCAUGCCGCGUGUGUGAAGAAGGUCUUCGGAUUGUAAAGCACUUUAAGUUGGGAGGAAGGGCAGUAAGUUAAUACCUUGCUGUUUUGACGUUACCAACAGAAUAAGCACCGGCUAACUUCGUG